GUCGAGCGGAAAGGCCCCUUCGGGGGUACUCGAGCGGCGAACGGGUGAGUAACACGUGAGUAACCUGCCCUUGACUUCGGGAUAAGCCUGGGAAACUGGGUCUAAUACCGGAUACGACCAUUCUGGGCAUCUGUGGUGGUGGAAAGUUUUUCGGUUGGGGAUGGGCUCGCGGCCUAUCAGCUUGUUGGUGGGGUGAUGGCCUACCAAGGCUUCGACGGGUAACCGGCCUGAGAGGGCGACCGGUCACACUGGGACUGAGACACGGCCCAGACUCCUACGGGAGGCAGCAGUGGGGAAUAUUGCGCAAUGGGCGGAAGCCUGACGCAGCGACGCCGCGUGGGGGAUGACGGCCUUCGGGUUGUAAACCUCUUUCAGCAGGGACGAAGCGUAAGUGACGGUACCUGUAGAAGAAGCGCCGGCUAACUACGUGCCAGCAGCG
Molecule: ribosomal RNA, 439 nt
Filed under: Actinomadura sp. YN-7-3
Lineage: Bacteria; Bacillati; Actinomycetota; Actinomycetes; Streptosporangiales; Thermomonosporaceae
Description: bacterial SSU rRNA
Rfam family: Bacterial small subunit ribosomal RNA
Source: RNAcentral